This 112-nucleotide ribosomal RNA is filed under the name Peromyscus maniculatus bairdii (prairie deer mouse). Lineage: Eukaryota; Metazoa; Chordata; Mammalia; Rodentia; Cricetidae. The record is from RNAcentral.
UCUUCCUACCAUGAUCUCGAAGUCCCCGCCAGAUCUCAUCUGAUCUCAGAAGCUAAGCAGGGUCGGGCCUGGUUAGUACUUGGAUGGGAGGGGAGCACUUUUAGAGGAAAAU